CAUUGGUCAGUUUACUGGGGCUCUCCUGGGAAAGGAACUUUGUCCUUGGGCCACUAGCGCUGACCACUCCCUCGCUGGAGGCUGGGCUGAGCAUACACUGCGCACUAGUGCAGUCAGCCCUUCCUCUGGGAGGCCAGCACUGGUCAUGGAAGACCCACAGCUUCAAGGUCAGUCUGUGUCAGGUUGAGAACGUGCCUGCUGUCUCUGCCCACCCAGGCCAGCAUCAGCCCACAGCCUGGCAGUGGCAGUGUCAGCAGAGCGGGUUCGCUGCACAAGUCCACUGUUCAGUCAGAGGAGAAGCCCGAGACAACUGUAUCCCGGCUUGAGCGAAGAGAACAGCUGAAAAAGGCCAACACCCUUCCGACAUCUGUGACAGUGGAAAUCUCAGAUUCCGCUCCCCCGGCACCACUGGUAAAAGAAGUCCCCAAGAGAUUCUCCACCCCUGAUGCUGCCCCGGUGUCUACAGAACCAGCCUGGCUGGCAUUGGCCAAAAGAAAAGCAAAGGCCUGGAGCGACUGUCCACAGAUUAUUAAGUAGAGUGACUCAUCCAUUCCUGGUGCCAGUUCUUGGCUCCUCUCUUGCCCUUUUUAUUUAUUUAUUUUUUUAUAUGAAGUAAAGAAAGCAAACUAGGUGAAAGAAGCAUGUUUUAUAGGCGCUCAAGUAAUGUUUAGAAACUGAACUGGUGGUGUUCAUUGUGAAGAGUGUAUUUGCACAACCCUGGGUCCUGGUGCCUUGAGCUUCCCUAGUUCUCAAGAGACAAUUCCGUGCAAGGGACCACAUGAAGUCAAAUCUGCAAACUGAGCUCCUCCAGAGAGAGAGCCUGCUGCACCCAUUCCCCCCAACCCCACUGCAGAGGCACACCCACAUGCCCUUCAGAACAUGUACUUUUGCCAAUCUUUGUGAAAGUUUUUGAUUCUCCUGGUUUCUUCUUUCUGAAGCAUUUGCCCUACCAGAUGUUUGGGUAUGUCUGCCAUUUCUACAGUAAAGGUAAAAAGAUCACAUAUAGAGAAAACAGAAUGCCAUCUUCCGAAUGCAGUAAGUCACUAGGAUUCACAAGGAAGAGUCCGGCUCCUAGCUCUGUGCCUCUGUCUGCUUUUUAUAAAUUGCCCACCCAGAAGCUGGCACAUGGAAGCAAAUCCACUCACACUUCCACCACACUAGAUGCAGUGUGAUCAGCAUAGUGUGAGGCCCAUCACACCAGUACCCUCUUUAAGGACAUGUGAAACAUUUGGCCCAAAUGGCUCCUAGGGGACAUUUUUCUUUAAUAUGGUGAAGAAAGAAAAUUCUGUAUCAGAGUUACCAAAGCACUCUCUCUGUCUCGAAGACUCUCCAUCUACUGCAGUGGUUCUUCAGAUGUCCAGGCUGCAUCCUAGGCCUACUGACCCGAUCCCAGGACAGGGCCAGGGGAGCACAUGCUGGCAGACACUCUUUAGAUGCAUUCUGGUCUGUCCUGAGGGUUCAAACCCUUUGGACACACUGAUUCUAGGGCAGUCUAGUUUUCCAGACUCUGAGAGGAGGUUCAUUCACCCAAAGAAGCAAAAGAUGGGAAAAAAAUAACCACACAAACCAGCCAUUUAUUACAAGAUAUGACAGGCUACUGACAUUGUAUGUCUCUGAAAAUUCCCUUGGGUCUUUAGAGAAAAUUAAUAGGAAGCCAAGAUCUACAGCUUUUGUACUAGGACUCUAAUCAAAUAAUUCAUAUUUAGAGUCAAAUGUUCAGUAGCAUUUAUAAUUUAGAGCAUUCACCUUGCUACCUUUAAAAAAAAUCUGUUUUAAGUGGCCUUGUUAUCAUACACAUGUGCAUUCAAAGAAGGGACUUGGCAGUUUCAAAGCCACAUUUACUUUUAUUUUCCUAAAUUUGCUUUACAUGAAACAUAGACAUACCAGCAAAUCCCCUAUAUACUGCUGGCACUAACUUUGUACGUUAUGGUAUUGACAUAUUUCCCUUUUCCUGGAUUCUUACUCCCAAAUACAGGUGCAAAUUCUUUGCCUAGUGCAGAGUGAAUUACAUCCUUUUUUUCUCUUACAAAAACACAUUUUAUAGUAUUCAUCAUUUAUUUAUGCUUACUCAAUAUGCAGUGUGAUGUUAUGCUGUCAUUUCCUAAAUGACAGAAAAGUUAUUUACCAUAUUCUUUCUAGAAACAAUGGCUCAGCUUCACUGUAGCAGCUGGCAUGUGUGGUCAAGUGGAUAGUUGUAUUCUUGCAAGUUGGGUUUAAUAUUAUAUAUACUGGACCUUCAGAAUGUUAAGAAUCAAUGUAAUAUUUUUAUUGCUAUUGGAAGCAGUUAAUAUUCCACUGCACGUUUUCAACACUGAUGUUCAUUUCUAAAUCAUAUAGGUAGGCAUUUGUUAAUUCAGUGAUUUCCUCACUGAUAUAACACUUUUUAAUGGCAAUCUUUCCACCUAUAGCCCUGGAGUUAUAGUACUAUCUUAAUUCUUCCAAAUGGACUUUUUCUUUCAUCCUGUCAGCUUUACACUGUAGUGGCAGGGAACAGGUGAGGAAAUAAGAUCAUUAAAGAAUGGUACAUGAAUCAGGUGUACUAGCUCAGGUACCAACUAGGCCAUACAAAGUAUGUUCCUUCAACCAGGUAUGGUGGCACACACCUGUAAUCCCAGCUCUUCUGGAGGCUGAGUCAGGAAGGUAAGUUCAAGGGCCAGCCUGGGCACCUUGGCAAGAGCCUGUCUCAACAUAAAAUUUUAAAAGUGCUGGGGAUAUAUAACUCAGUGAUCCCUGGGUUCAGUCCCCACCACUAAAAAAAAAAAAAAAAAAAAAAAAGAUCCUUCAAAAAGUUUUCAAAAGAAGAGUCUACUGAGGAAAGGACAGUUGCAGUACUUCUACCAACUUCUAAAGGUACAUGUUUAACAUUUCAUUAUACAUCCAUCUCAAAUUUGCACUAAAUACCACUGAAGUGUUAUUUUGCUUUGGUUAUGUUGCAGUCUUUUCUGAGCAACAAAUUAUGGGGAAAUUCUGUAAAAACACAAAGUUCAAGAUAGUCUUUUCUUUUUAAAAUGAACAUUAUGUUAGAUAAUUUUUUUUUUUUUGGUACCAGGGAUCGAACUUGGGUCCUUACGCUUGCGCAGCAGGUGGCGAAACCACUGAGCUAAAUCCCUGGCCCAUGUUAGAUAAUUUUGUAAAAAAUUUAAACAAACACACUUCUCCUGGCAAGGUUAUAGAUCUUUAACCUUUGUUCAUAAGCUUAAAUAAAAAACUAGAGUUUUUUUGUUUACUUUUAAAAUUUUUCAAGUGCAAUUGUUUCUUACACAAACAUUACUAUUAUCAUUUUAGCCAGUUAUUGGCAAAUGUGUAGUAUGCAUUCACUGUCUCUUCUUGUGAUGUUUAAUUGCUUAUUUUAAAGCAGAAACAUUAGCUACAAGUGUCUUGCAAUAUUUCUACCAACAAUAACAUUAGUAGAGACUUAAUGAAAAUACUUUAGUGUGACUUUAAUAUUAUUUUGAGAUUUUUGGUUGUAUAAAGUUUUAAUGUAAAAUGUCCAUUACUGAGGGGAAAAGAUCUUUCAAUAAAAAAUACCAACAAGAUUUUUGGCAUUGAUGAAAAAUUUCCUUUUUAAGUUGAAAUUUUUACUAAUUUCAAUGACAAGUGGUCUCAUAUUUACACAGCUUUGUGUGAACAGCAUAAAGUGUUUUAUAUGGUACUUUAUUAUACUUUUCAGUAAGUAUUGGAGAAAAUGAACGAAGAGACAAAUGUUUAUCUCAAUCCCAAACUGGAACUGAAUUGUCCGAGAAAACGAUCCUACUGCCUGCUAACAGUACAGGCCAGGGACGGCAGCAUCAGCGCCAGCAGAGAGCCUGGGCACACGUGGCUUAGGCUGACUGCCCGGCUGGACCAGGCUGAAAGAAGUCAGGUGUGCAAGGCACUUGCCUCAGCUACAGAAACCUCAAUGAACAAGGGAAUGAUAUUUUAACGCAAUAUUUUAAAAAAUCAGAAUUACUGCAAAAAAUUCCACG
RNAcentral lists this long non-coding RNA (3965 nucleotides) under Heterocephalus glaber (naked mole-rat). RNAcentral's name for it is "lncRNA (ENSHGLG00100032973.1)". Lineage: Eukaryota; Metazoa; Chordata; Mammalia; Rodentia; Bathyergidae. The record is from RNAcentral.